This 212-nucleotide long non-coding RNA is filed under the name Capsicum annuum. RNAcentral's name for it is "long non-coding RNA (CANN_LNC017014)". Lineage: Eukaryota; Viridiplantae; Streptophyta; Magnoliopsida; Solanales; Solanaceae. The record is from RNAcentral.
GUCACUCAAAAAUUGUCAAAAAUUGGUGCAAAAUAAAGGGCCAUACCCAAAUCAAGAGACGAAUAUCCAUUGGCAACAAAGUAACAAAAAUUGUCUAGAAUAACAAUUUGGUGCUUAAAUUAGAAAAAUAUUAUUUUAUGGUGAAAGAAGGUAUAGUUCUUGGCCACAACAUCUAUAGAAAGGAGAUCAAAGCUAAUGGGGCAAAGAUUGAG